AUGAUUCUCUUGGCCUGGAACUGUUGAGGAUUGGGGUUGGACUCGACAGUUGGCGAAUUAAGAGACCUGAUACGGUCCUACAACCCGGAGGUGGUUUUUCUUUGUGAAACGAAGAAAUCGGCGAGAGCAAUGGAGCGGCUUAAGUGGAGUUUGGGCUUUAAUAGUGGUGUAGCAGUAGACUGUCAAGGGAGGAGUGGUGGUCUGGCUCUAUGG
RNAcentral lists this ribosomal RNA (213 nucleotides) under Triticum aestivum (bread wheat). RNAcentral's name for it is "partial small subunit ribosomal RNA". Lineage: Eukaryota; Viridiplantae; Streptophyta; Magnoliopsida; Poales; Poaceae. The record is from RNAcentral.